AGUUGAAGCCCGUGAAGAAGAGAUCACUUACGCUGACCCGAAAUUCUACAAAAGAAACAAUCCGACUGUUAAACAGGAAGAUGAGGUGGUGUACGCAGCUGUUGUCACCAGACGUUAAUUAAACUAAAAGAAAGAAGUUUCCUCAUUAAUGAUGUUCUGAUCACAGUCAGUAGGUUAAGCCAAUUAUUGCAACAAAGCUGUUUAAGGAGGGAAAGCGGUGUUUGUGCUUACAUGCACUGUGCUAGCAGCAGCUUAUGUGUACAUGUGUUUGUUUGUUUGUUUUGUUGUUUUUUAAAGAGUGUAGAACGACACGUUUGGCUCUAGUGGUCUUUGUUUUCAAGCACUCAAGUGACUCACAGAUGCACUGUUGUACCCACAAAAAUUGAGGCCCAAGUAACGUUCUACACAGUACUUUAUUUUCCGCCUCACAACUAUGCAUAUUGCCAUUUAGUGGACUCUUCUGUCUCAACAUUCACCCGUGGACAUUCACACGGUACUAUAGUGCAUAGACAGGUGAUGUCCAGCUCCACCUCUCUGGAUGUUUAAUGGAGUGGAGGGAUAGAGUUGUGGGUAGGGUUAAGAUGUGGUUGGAUAUAACUCCAUCCAUUAGGCCCAAAUUAUAUUUGCUCCUCGCCGGACAUCAAGGAGCUAGAUGUAAUUCAGUCAUUUGCUCUGCAGUGAGCAGCCUCUCCAGACGUCCACAGACCCUCCGGAUGAUUAAAAUUACGUUACGCGGACCGUUGUGGAACACAGACAGACAAAGUAUACUUUGGGUUUAACACAACUUUCUGCAAAACCCCUGCAAUAAUCUUUUUUUAAAUGUACUGUAAACUGUUUUUCUUCCCAAAUAUUUUUGUGUUGUUUGUAAAAAAAAAAAAAAUCCCGAUUCUGAUUCUGCAUGUUAAUGUGUUACAGUUCUACUAAAGUUCAAAAGGUCAAACAUACAGAGAAAGUGGGACAUUAACUAGAUUUUAUUUGAGAGUUUCUCAUUUUGAGCAUUUCAUUUUAGUUUGUAAGACUAUAAAUAUACAUGAUAUAUGAUAAAUGAACUGAAUUUAGCACAAAUUCUGGUGAAGACCGCAAAGUUACACAGAUGAAGCAAGUCUAUAGUUUCCUCAGAGCUCCUAAAACCCUCAUGUGGAUUCUCAACAAGCUCAAAACUCAUCUACAUUUAACAGACAUUUAUCAUGAACCGAAUUUAGCACAACAUUUGGGGAGAGUGCGAAGUUACAUAGACUAAAACUAAGCAGCAUCAUAAAAACUAAUCUUCAUAACUGGGACUGAUGUGAGAACGGCUCAGAUAUUUAUUCAGAAGUAUUAAUUUUAGGAGGAUACUUGUCAGUUUUACUCUGUGUAUGUUCAGGAAAUCCCAGCAGACUUCAAAUAGCCAUUUUAUAAGUUUUAGCAGCACAUUCUCAAUGCAUUCAGAUCAAGUCACUGAUCGAUGUACAUAAAACUGCAGAAUAACAGAAUACAUUUAAUGUUGUGAUAAAUAUUAGCAGCAAACUGAUGGGAUUUAUUUAUUUUAUUUUAUUUUUGUAUUUUGUGUAUUUUUAUAGUACUGUAUUCAACAGACUCACCCCACAGAAGGCCUUAUUUUUAGAACUGGAAAGAAAUGUAGUUUCAUAUGUUGGGUAGAGACCAUGUGUGUGAGAAUGUGUGAUCACUGGACGUCUGUGGUUACUGUGCAUCUGUGUUUACAUGUCUUGAGGUGUGAAUAGAGUGAAAGUGUGUUCCUGAGAAUCGUGUGGUUGAAGAACUUCCACAAUUUCACUUCCUCUUUAUGCAAAAUAUAAUGUUUUACUGCAAAAUGGAAUUUUACAGAAUGGAAAAUGUUUGACAAAAAUAAACUCUCUGUGAGAUCUU
Megalobrama amblycephala (Wuchang bream) is the source of this 1866-nucleotide long non-coding RNA. RefSeq lists it as uncharacterized. The transcript is spliced from 2 exons. Lineage: Eukaryota; Metazoa; Chordata; Actinopteri; Cypriniformes; Xenocyprididae. The record is from RefSeq and is a predicted model, not a curated record.